This is a non-coding RNA of Pelobates cultripes (western spadefoot toad), 925 nucleotides long. The record is from the annotation of a GenBank genome assembly. Lineage: Eukaryota; Metazoa; Chordata; Amphibia; Anura; Pelobatidae.
GUAGAAUGGAUGCUGGUUGUAAUUAACGUGUAUGUGCUUUAUUGGCUAUCUGCCGAAUGCAGAUAGCUGUAUGUACUGUAUUUUCUUUCGUUUCACGAACUGCACUCUUGCGGGCCAUUCGUGAACCAAAAAUACCCCCAUGUAGUAGCCCACACACUUAGAGGCGUGUGGCACUUGGUAAUUAGAGGCUCUCCUAGGUGGCCGCCGUUCGACUACCGACCAUGCGGCGGUCGGCCAUCUUGGAUCCUUUGUUCCCUCAGCGGUAUUUGGUCGUCGAGCACAUGGUACUAAAAACGGCUACUCUAUGGCGCGAACACCACUGAGCUUCCAGGCCGUUCGGGAGGUCUGGGCUGUUCGGUAUUUGGUUCCCUGGAAGGCAAUCGGUAUUUUGAACCUGUAUUUUAAUGAAUGUGUUUUUCGUGCGGCGUUCGGUUGGUUUAGCUGGGAUCUGAGCAGUAAUCUCACGAAUGAUGCGCUCAGACCCCAACUAUCUACCGAACGUCCAUUCGUUUAAAUGAACUGCAUAUUCGAAAAGUUAUGGAUUUUAAUGUCAAUUGUCGGUUCUGCUGCACGAAGGGAUAAUCCACUUAACGGUACAUUCCUGUGGGAGGAUCCCUCUCAUGCAGCAGUGCCUGAUGGGAGAAAUGUCUUGCACAGUAAGUCCCCCAUGUAGUCCCCUCUGGGAAUGCCCCUGGGAGGGGACUCAGGAAACCCCUUGCAUUGGGACUUGUAUAAAUUGUGGAGCUGAAAAUAAAGACCUCAGUUGACUCUCAGAACAGUGUUUUGUCCGGUUACUGGGAGGUUUGGGAUAUUGCCUUGCUUUUUCCAGCGCUUGACUGUGGAUUACUUCCUGAACCAGCGGAAUUCGUGGAUUUAAUAUUGGCAUUCCGCUACUUGGACAGGCAGCUAUUUUGGUAACUAGGAC